This 1184-nucleotide long non-coding RNA is filed under the name Struthio camelus australis. RNAcentral's name for it is "lncRNA (ENSSCUG00000006394.1)". Lineage: Eukaryota; Metazoa; Chordata; Aves; Struthioniformes; Struthionidae. The record is from RNAcentral.
AUAAGAACAAGCUGGAGCCACCUCUCUAACCUCCCACCCCACUUCAGUUUGUGCAGCCUGCUGAUACUCAGCUGCCAUGUUAUACUGCAUUUGGGGGGGAGGGUGAAGGUGUGAUCCCCCAAAUGCCCCAGAGUGGAGACCAGCAAACAAACUGCCUGACACGCUGCAGCAAGAACAGGGCAAUGUGGAACUGCAGCGUGAAUGUUAAGAGAAGAGCGGCAUGCUUGCUGGAUAAAAAGGAAGAUGGAAAUGGCAACAGGCUCCCGAAAGAAAGGAUAAAUCAAGUACAAAAGAAAUAUGCCCCAAAAGCCAUCCCAAGUGCCAUGAAUCCAUGUCUGCGUUGGAAGGAGCAAUGAAGCACUGCUUGGAGGAGCACUGUUACAAGGGUGUUGACAACUGCAUGAAGAGCAAACCCAAGCCCCAUCUGCCAAGAUGCUGUCUCCAAGCCAGCUCGGGCUGGCAAGAAGCACUACCCCAACCAAUGCUUCAGGAGACAUUAGCAUCAGCAGAGAAUCCAUGAGAGCCUGGAUACAACUGAUUGGUUGCAGGUUUGAAUACGGUGCUCACCAACAAAAGACUUCAGGCUACUUUAAGAAUUUAAAAUUGUUUUCCAGAGGCAGAAUAAACUGCUUAAAUUCAAGUACAGACUUGAACAAAUCGGAGAUAACAUGGGGACACAGCCAUAGCAACCAUCACCAUCUGUCCUGUCAAGUGGAAUUGUACCAACUCAAGGUUAACAAGGCAAGACCUCUAAAUAACACUCCUGGACCUGAAUUUCAGCAAAGUUCCCAUUUGGGCACCUACAUCAUUUGUAGGUGUGGGUGAAGCGUCUCAGCUGAGGUGCAGGGCUUAGCCUCACACAGGAUGGAUCUGCUCCAGCUUACUGCCAAGUCAACAACAAAACUUCCCACCAUCAGGGAGCAUCACAUCUUAAGAGCUCCAGGUCCCAUGCCAGCACAUUACAUAUAUAACAAGAGGAAUUUCCACCAACUACAAUGAAGGUCAAGGACAACAUGGUCCCAUCAACUCUGUUUUUAAGCUCUCCUAACUCUGUGCAGGACAGCUUCUUGUGAAUCAAGGCAACAGGUCUGUUGCAAGAGUUAAGUCUAUCUCUGAAUCAAGACAAAGUACAGAAGCCUUAAAAAAAAAAAACUCACCCGGCUGACAUAAAUGCUUCCUCUUCA